Molecule: transfer RNA, 76 nt
Filed under: Candidatus Aerophobota bacterium
Lineage: Bacteria; Candidatus Aerophobota
Description: Candidatus Aerophobetes bacterium tRNA-Ala
Rfam family: tRNA
About the family: Transfer RNA (tRNA) molecules are approximately 80 nucleotides in length. Their secondary structure includes four short double-helical elements and three loops (D, anti-codon, and T loops).
Source: RNAcentral
GGGGAUGUAGCUCAGCGGGUAGAGCGCUUGCUUCGCAUGCAAGAGGGCGGGGGUUCGAAUCCCCCCAUCUCCACCA